Long non-coding RNA from Esox lucius (northern pike), 268 nucleotides. RefSeq lists it as uncharacterized. The record is from RefSeq and is a predicted model, not a curated record. Lineage: Eukaryota; Metazoa; Chordata; Actinopteri; Esociformes; Esocidae. The transcript has 3 exons.
AUUUCGUAAGAUUAUGAGCGUUCCAAGAGUACACAACACUGUGUAUUCAAAUCGUAAGUAGGCCUGUUGGAUUUGUGGCAUGUUUGCGACUGCAGAAGACUCACCAUUGUUAUGACACACAUCUUCAUACAGAUCCUCCAGCUGAAGAAGACUGGGACCUGAGGACAACGGACAAAGGACUGGACCCACUGACCUGGAUUCUUGUUGGGGUUCCUGGUGUGCAGCUCGGUCCGUGGUUGCAGUGUCCCGGCGCAGCAGGACCAGAGGG